Molecule: non-coding RNA, 118 nt
Organism: Cordylochernes scorpioides
Lineage: Eukaryota; Metazoa; Arthropoda; Arachnida; Pseudoscorpiones; Chernetidae
Source: the annotation of a GenBank genome assembly
GUCAGGAUGGCCGAGUGGUCUAAGGGGCGCCAGAAUAAAGAGUAAAUCUUGUCCUGUAGUGGGAAUUGAAUGUUCUGGUCAACUGAUGUGGGCAUGGGUUCAAAUCCCACUUCUAACA